This 439-nucleotide ribosomal RNA is filed under the name uncultured bacterium. RNAcentral's name for it is "partial 16S ribosomal RNA". It matches the Rfam family "Bacterial small subunit ribosomal RNA", at positions 339 to 795 of the family's 1533-position model. The record is from RNAcentral.
CUACGGGUCGCUCCAGUGGGGAAUAUUGCACAAUGGGGGGAACCCUGAUGCAGCAACGCCGCGUGGAGGAUGACGCAUUUCGGUGUGUAAACUCCUUUUAUAUGUCAAGAAAAUGACGGUAGCAUAUGAAUAAACACCGGCUAACUCCGUGCCAGCAGCCGCGGUAAUACGGAGGGUGCAAGCGUUACUCGGAAUCACUGGGCGUAAAGGACGCGUAGGCGGGUUGGAAAGUCAGGUGUGAAAUCCUACAGCUUAACUGUAGAACUGCACUUGAAACUUCUAAUCUAGAGUAUGGGAGGGGGAGAUGGAAUUAGUGGUGUAGGGGUAAAAUCCGUAGAUAUCACUAGGAAUACCUAAAGCGAAGGCGAUCUCCUGGAACAUUACUGACGCUAAGGCGUGAAAGCGUGGGGAGCAAACAGGAUUAGAUACCCGUGUAGUC